Molecule: small nuclear RNA, 146 nt
Organism: Callithrix jacchus (white-tufted-ear marmoset)
Lineage: Eukaryota; Metazoa; Chordata; Mammalia; Primates; Cebidae
Gene: U1
Rfam family: U1 spliceosomal RNA
About the family: U1 is a small nuclear RNA (snRNA) component of the spliceosome (involved in pre-mRNA splicing). Its 5' end forms complementary base pairs with the 5' splice junction, thus defining the 5' donor site of an intron. There are significant differences in sequence and secondary structure between metazoan and yeast U1 snRNAs, the latter being much longer (568 nucleotides as compared to 164 nucleotides in human).
Source: Ensembl
AUACUUACCUGGCAGGGGAGAUACCAUGAUCACAAAGGUGGGUUUCCCAGGGCAAGGCUUAUCCAUUGCACUCUGGAUGUGCUGACCCCUGCGAUUUCCCCAAAUGUGGGAAACUCGACUGCAUAAUUUGCGGUAGUGGGCGACUG